This is a long non-coding RNA of Homo sapiens (human), 30366 nucleotides long. RefSeq annotates it as GALNT7 antisense RNA 1. The record is from RefSeq and is a predicted model, not a curated record. The transcript has 3 exons. Lineage: Eukaryota; Metazoa; Chordata; Mammalia; Primates; Hominidae.
GGAUUUAGCUGUAACUCGGCAAUCCACUCGGACUCCCCUCUCUGCUGUGGAGCAUUUCUUCUCUCUCUUAUUAAACUUUUGCUCCACCCCCACCCUUGUGUCCAUGCUCAAUUUUCUUGGACGCAGGACAAAGAAGCCAGGUACUAGUUCAGAGAACAAGAAACUGCUACAUUAUGGUGCAUUGGCAAAACUACAACAUAUUUAGGUGCAGGAAGAAGGGAUCAUCAGAAGGGUGAGUAAGAGCGGACCUCUACCCUUUUACUUUCAUUUCUGAGGUUUCUUGUCUAUUCCAAUCCAGUUUCCUUUCACAAAGGGCCCAGACAUUGCAUGGGAUUGGAAGGAGGUCCUAGGGCAACUGAAGGUUUCUGGCUGGGGCUACCCCUCAGUAUUAUCUCCAGUCCCCGACAGCCGUCAGGGUGCUGGCACAAGGACCUCCAGUCUUUUCCUACUGCAUUUUCCUUCUUUCUUUUCAGGGCUAUCAUGCCUCUUAUCCCUUCUUUCUAUGCAAUGUUACAGGUGUUUUUGCAUCCUAGAGACAGAGUCUUGCUGGGUAGAGUCAGUCCUGAUUACUAAGACACCAACUGACAAACACAACAACUCUUUGAGUUACAUUCCUGAUUACUAAGACAAAGAGUUGUUGUGUUUGUGAUUUCCUGGAGACAGGGUAAAUUCAAGAUCAGUUUAAAUUUUCACCUAGUAAGGGCUUUUUGUCCUCAAUGAUAGACACUGAUGGCACUAUAUAAGGGGAUAUUUCACCCCAAGUGAAUAUCCUCUUCCCUCUCCAUUUGGAUUGUUUCCUUCUCCUUUUGGGUUAUUUCUUCCCUCCACGUGAAAGCUCAGCACUGCCCAAUGAAUUUAAACAGUUUCUUUAUGAGACAAGUUAAUUUUAUUCCGCUGGGGACAGCCUAUUAAACCCCAAACCUCUCUAACUUCUGCCUGGAUAGAUGGAGUCAGAGUUUUUACCUAACAUCUCAGAUCCUACAGCGCCACCUAGUGGGAUGGGAUUUUUUUCUCCAUGGGGAGUCUUGCUGGCUGUUUGUCGAAAACCUCUAGUUCCUCAAUUCCCCUCCCUCCUAUGUCCCUCUAUUAGGGACCAGGCUCCAUGACCCAUCUGUAAAUAUCAAAGCUCCAUCUUUAACAGUCAAGAGGACAGCCAUUCAAUUCAUAUGUUCUUUUCUUUUUUUUUUUUUUUUUUUUUUUGAGAUGGAGUCUCGCUCUGUCGCCCAGGCUGGAGUGCAGUGGCGCGAUCUCGGCUCACUGCAAGCUCCGCCUCCCGGGUUCACGCCAUUCUCCUGCCUCAGCCUCCCGAGUAGCUGGGACUACAGGCGCCCGCUACCAGGCCUGGCUAAUUUUUUGUAUUUUUAGUAGAGACGGGGUUUCACCGUGUUAGCCAGGAUGGUCUCGAUCUCCUGACCUCGUGAUCCGCCCGCCUCGGCCUCCCAAAGUGCUGGGAUUACAGGCGUGAGCCACCGCGCCCGGCCUCAUAUGUUCUUUUCUGAGGCACCUGUUCUACAUCCAACUACAUUGGCAUUUAAACAAAAAGGGGAUUUUAUAUUUGGAAGUCAAUUGGUCCCAUUCUCUGGGAUUUCAAUGUUUCACUAGGGCCAUAGCAAGGGAAGCCAGAGAUAAUAUUAAAAGACUUCCUCCAUUCCAUUAAGGUGUCUUGCCCAAAUACAAUCUCUCCUGGACCCUUAGGGUACCCUGGGAACCUUAUGGGCAAAGUAGGUCUAGGAAACCAGCAAGGGUGAAGGGCCAAGGCCAUAAGCAGAUGAGCAUGACUAGUUAUGCUGACUAGCUUCUCCAGGACCAUAAAUGAAGGUCAUACUUGCAAACAUGGGGCGGCACCUAUGAAGGAUGGUCACUGGGACCCAAAGGACGGGAGGAAGGGGGUGAAGGGGGAUGCCCCUCCAGCCUUUCCCUCCAUCUUGGGUCACUCUGAAGAGAAGGAGACUGAGGGAUGCCUCUUCUCUUGCCUCUUUUCUACAUGGAUAACACCCCAUCUUCAAGUCUGCACUACCCCUGAGUGCAGCCUGGAUCUCCUUUAGUCCUCAGACCCUAAAGUUCACUCGGGGCAAGCCCCAACUUCACUGCCGUAUAGAGGCCUUCCAAGAUUUAACCCAAGUAUUUAAACUCUCCUGGAUGUUCCAGGGAUGGAGAAGCAAGUGGGGAAAAUACCAGUGCCCUUGGAGGACCAUAAAUGGGACCAUGAUGAUAGCAUCAGAAAAUGGGGAAGGAAACUCUUUCAAAUGUGUAUAUUGGAGAACUUGCAGGGGAUUAGAGCCAAACCUAUUAACUCUUCCAAGCUUUCCAUGAUAGUCCAAAAGCUAAAUAAAAAUCUUUAAACCUUUUUAUUCAAUAAAGAACAGGUUUAUUACUCAGACAGCCCUUAAUAUGGGAAGAAAGUUGCUGAAACAGGCCCUGUCCAAAGAUCUAAUUUUUCUCACCCUCGAGUUGAAACUUUGCAGUACAUAAAUAACACUCUCCUCUGUCCCCCAACCAAGGAAGUCUCAGGGAGGCACUGAGGCUCUCUUCAGUUUCUUAGCUGAAAGGGGAUAUAGGGUCUGAAAAUCUAAAGCUUGGCUCUGUCAGACUUCAGUAAAGUACCUAGGUCUAGUCUUAUCAGAAGGGACUAGAGCAUCAGGUGAAGAAAGGAUGCCCAUUUCCUUUAACAGUUGAGGGGAUUCUUAGGCAUUAGUGGAUUUUGCAGACUGUGUGUACCUGGAUACCGUGAAAUAGCUUGCCCUUUAUACCACCUCAUAACGAAACUCAAGCAGUUAAAACUCACUCACUAACUUGGGAACCUGCCUUUAACCAACUAAAGCAAGCCUUACUUAAAGCAUCAACCCCCAGUCUUCCCAAAGGAAAAGCAUUCAGUCUCUAUGCUUCAGAAAAGAAGGAAAUGGCCCUGGGAAUUCUGGCUGAAGCUUGAGGUCCAGCUCAACAGCCAGUGGGUUACCUAAGUGAGGAACUUAACUUGGUGGCUAAAGGCUGGUUAGCCUGCCUCUAAGCAGUUACAAUGGCAGCUUUGUUGGUGCCAGAGGCCACUGGGUUACCCAUGGGAAACAACUGUUUACAACCCAUACAAUAUAGCAGGAGUGCUGCCCUCUAAGGAAAGUCCCUGGCUAACAGACAAUCGCCUCCUUAACUAUCAAGCUUUGCUACUGGAGGGAUCUGUGGUCCAGAGGAAAACCUGCCCUUGCUAGAGCCGAGCCAUUUUCUCCCAAAGGAAACUGGAGAACUUGAACAUGAUUGUGAAAAGGUAGUGGUGCAAACCAGUAAAAGGAAUGAUGAAGAUCACUGUUUACAUUCUCUGUAAAAUUUUAAUUAAUGAGAAAGGAUUUUCUUAAAGAAUGCUCAGCUUACCUCAAAGUGGAUAUCCGAGCUAUGGGUAUAUGUAAAAGGCCUUUAUGUUUUUCUCUUCAUAGAUCUUGUUUUUCUGGAAAAGGUUUUUUGUUGUUGUUGUUUUUUUUCAGUCAACUGAAUUACUUUUUUCCACUGUGUCUUAUCAUUCUUGAUGCAUACGUGAAAGACCCUAGAAUGACUUCUGGUGGCCUGGGACUCCCUGGGAAAUAGAUUAAGGUGCCACAAAUCCCAUUUUGGAGAAAUCCCUGUUUUCCUCAUGGAACCCCUGGAAUUAGAGGUGGAUAAGCCCCUCUCAACAUCUGUCUUUGUCUUCUGGCUGUGCUUGUUUAUUAAGCCCUGAAAACUAUAUUCAUACCCCUGUUCGUAAAAGGGCUCCACCCUGAGCUGCUGGAUCUUCUUCUGUCUGUCUGUGUAGUCAUACAUGUGAUAUAUAUGUGAAGUCUAUAAAAAGGCCAAUUAAUUGGCCUAAGAAUAAUAAGCACUGAAAUAAAAUAUUUUGCAGUAAAAGUAAAAGCUGUGGUACCUUUCAGUUCAUAUGACUUUAAUAUUUAAAAUAAAAACAGACAAGAAUUAUUGGUAAAAUACAAACGUCUUCAAGGUGUAAAAAUGUGGUCUAAUUUAUUAUGCAGGUCAGAUACUAGCUUUGCUAAAUGUUUUAAGGUUGCAAACUGCUUCUUUGGCCUUUUAAAAACUGUCAACUUGCCUGCUUCACAAUUAGUAUGGUCUGGGAACAAAUAGAAGUGACCAUGCUCCUAACUACGCUGAAAGGAAUCAGACUUUAUCUGCAUCUAGCACAUAAUUAAAACAACUUACCAGGCUUUACAUUAAAGUUAAAAAUCGCUAAGAGUUACCAUUAUGACAUGUAAUUGAGACUACUGAACAUGGAUUUGCAUGCAAGGUGUGUAAAAACAGCAAAAUGUGUUUUUAGUUAAAAGAUUAUAAGAAGGCAUGGAAAUGUCCAUUUUGCCUAGAGAUAAAGGAUUGUCUUAAAUUAGAUAAAAUAAAGCAGAAGGUUUAAGCAAAUUGUGAAAAGACUGUAAAUAUUAAUCUUGCAAAGGAAACUAUGUGUGUGAACAUAUUGACUAAAUUCAAAAGGGUAUUAUAUAUUUUUUUCUGUAAAUUAAACUUUGAAAUAAAAGCACAACAAGGUUUUCUUACGAUGCUGACCUACUCUUCAGCAAAACUUGUAAAGGGUUAUAAAAUAACCAUACAAAAAAAUGUAUGUAAAAAUCUCACCUCAUGGUCAAACUGGUUAAGAUUGAAUAGGAUUGUCUAUAAGGCUUCAUUAAAAACUGGGGUUAACAUUAAUAGUAGACUAAUGCAAGGGUAAAUUUGGCUCUCUAUUCAUGUAGUAAUAAGGGCUAAUGAAAAGGUUUUUUUUGUUGUUGUUUUUUUUUUCAAAUUUUUGAGUCAUUGUUUUGGCAAAACAAAUGACUUAUGGUAAAAUUUUAUUUCAUAAUAUCCAGUGUUUUAAGCCUCUAACAUAUUUCACAGGCUUCCCAAAAUUAAACUUCAGUCUCAAGGUUGUCUUUCCUGGCCCCUUGCUUUUGGGUGCUACAAAGGGUCCCUGGAGCAUGCUGAAGAGAGGUAAACAGGAUUAUUUAACAUGUUUAGGUACAUGGGAUUGCCAAAAUGAGGUCUAAUAUUCUUCAGGUUAUGUUUUAGGGAAAAAUAUUAACAUAUGUCCAAAAUUGUAUGGGAUGUCUAAGGUUCUAAUGUCUGAAUAUUUGCUAUCAAUCACAAUUAAGGUUGUUAUGUUGGGUUAUUGUAUGCCACAGAAAUAACCAAAUUUGUCAAUCAUGUUCUUGACUGUAACCACCCUGGACAUUUUGUCAUUUACAGACAAUUGUUGUCUUAUUUUAAUCUUCUUCAAAAAAUGGUUUAUAAUCACUGUGGAACUUUAAUAGGUACUCUUGAAUGCAGGUUUCUGAUAAUAGAAAAAUGUAAAGGACUCAUGAAAAGCUGAAAUGUUUACAAAUAUUAAGCAGAACAAGAGUUAAUGGAAUGGACUAACCUAAUAGAAAACUAAACGAAUCUUUUUGAUUUUUGCUUUGAACACUGCUAAUUCUUGUUUUGUUUUUCAGAGUCAAGGAAACUUUCUUUCAAAUUAGCUAGAGCUUUUAACAACUAAGUAAGGUAUACUCCUGUGAACAAAAUUUGGAACAUGUUUGUUUCUCUCUGCCUGGUUUCUCUAGAAUUCAGAAACUGGUUGUAAGUAUUCUUGACUUAUAACAAUAUAGUUGUUUGCAUCAGCGCAAUAAGAAUCUACUUUAUUUUGCAACAAAACACAAUUGGAAAAACUCGUUGUUUUACCAAGGCUUUGACUGAAAGGGUGUGUUUCCCUUUAAAGAGUCAAGUUCGACUUGCAGAGCCAGUAAAAGCCUCCUGGAAAACCGGCCUCAUACCUUGUCUACACAGCCCCUGUACAGGGUUCCUAACCUGUGAGGCCAUCAAGCUCCAAAUGGUAAAGUAAAUGGAACCACACAUUAAACGCACCUUUUUUCUGAGGACCCUUAAACCAGCCUCGGGAGGAAUCCUAGCUGCUGUUCCUCACACAAUGCUCCUCUCCAGCAAGAAAUAGCCAGAAAGAUCAAUGCCCAAUCUCCCUAACAGCAGUUAGAGUUCCCACUUCUGAAGUGGGGAAUGAGGGUGAGGGAAAAGAAAAAAUCAGUUGGGGCAAACUUACAGUGUAGAAGCGGUCUGCCUGAAAAGUCACAGCAAUGGGCAAAAACAAAACAAUCUGGGACAAAAACUCAGGCUGCACCUGCACACAGAGAAGCAGACAGCGUCCAGAAAAGAAGCCGUUUGUUCUUCGUAUAAUUAGCAAGCUCCCAGGAAAAAGUUUCCUCCCCUUUUGAGGCAUAUACAUGGUGGGCUCCACAGAAACUUGCACAGGGAAGACGGGGGCUUACCUAAAACAAACCCACAGUUAUACAGAAAAGAGAAGUGGCGCUUUGUGCUUGCCUAGAGACAUACCCACAGCUGCAUAAGAUAAGGGGAGUUGCACAGACAGCUUUACUGAUAGGAGAAGUUACUCAAACUGCUACAGAGAUGAGAAGAGUUUCUUAUAAAAGCUUCUGGAGUCAGCUGUAACUCGGCAAUCCACUCGGACUCCCCUCUCCGCUGCGAAGUGCUUUCUUUCGCUUAUUAAACUUUCACUCCACCCCCACCCUUGUGUCCAUGCUCCUUAAUUUUUUUGGAUGCAGGACAAAGAACCCCGGGUACUUGUUCAGACAACGAGAAACCGCUACUUUAAGGUGCACUGGCAAAACUGCAACAGAACAAGUUAAGUCCACAUGGCUCCACAUUCUGUGGAGGAGGACAUGUUCCUCUUCCACAGAAAAGGGAAGUAGAAGCUCUUCUACUAGGGAGAGGUAGGAAAUCUGGAGGGAACAAGGGGAUAGAAGGUAACAAAAGCAGAUGAAGGAACGGAUUUGUGCGCAGCCUCCAUUUCCCAGCUUUGGAGGAGACUAUCCAAUAGAAGGUGGUUGCCAUGUGAAAGAGAAACCAUGCUGAAGUGUACUUGGGCAGGAGACCUAGAGACAACUUCCCUUUCCACAUCUGCUGUGCAGUCUCCCUUGGCUGUAGGGUGCAGCCAGGGAGCCCAGACGUUUCCACAUGCUUCCAGUGGGGAACAUGGAUGGUAGCUAAGAGUUGAGAGCCAGUGGCCUGCCAGGGGUCACAGUAAUAAGGAAUAGGAUGACAUGUGGCAACUCUAUGGGAUGGAAGGCUUAAGACACGACAGGCUCUUGUAGACAAGCGGGCUUCAGAGGAUCCACAGUACCAGUGAGGGCCAAAAUGGAGAUAAGUCCCCAUAGUGGGUCUGGUGAGGAAAGGACCGUUGGUCCCAAAGGCAGCAAGAGAACUGAAUAGAAGUUACUGCAGCAGGGGUUCCUUCAGCAGCAGAUGAAAGGGUGCCAGUAUACCCGGGAAGACAGGCACACCUACCCAGAACCAGGAGGAGGCAGCAGAGACAGAGGUAAGCAGGCCAGAACCAUCUAAAACAUGUUCCUCAAGGGUGCACAAUCCUCCUGUCACCAGGAUGCUAGAGAGAAAAGGAAGAGAGGAAAAGAGACCCUCUGGAGCACAGAAACAGCCCAGAGAGGGAGUCUGAAUUUUGGGCCGACUGGAUUGGACACUUAUCCCAAAUGAAAGCUUCAGCCCAACACAAAUUGAGCUACCUUCAAUUACAAGCUUUCAUUUGCCACCGUCAACCUGAAGGCAGGAUCUUAAAGUUUAGCUCUUUUCUGGUUUGUCACUGUGAGAUGAAGCCACUGGGUAGAGCACACAGAAGUAGUAUUUAUAAUACACAAAGCCUUGCUAUUAAGAUUUAGUAAGAAAGAAAUGCCCAUUGUAUUGAGGUAAAACCCCCUAUUCUGCAUCAUUCCUCUCACUUUACUGGUGUAGAAUUUGUAAUAAGUUCUAAUAAGAAGGACAACAUUUAAAUGGAUGGGCCCUGAUAUAUAUUUUUGACUAAUUUCUCCUCUUUGGUAUCUCAUUUCCCAAGAAAGCUUUAAAAUCCUCUAACACCAAGGACAGUACUGGUUCAGCUACAUUGUAGAACUGCUCUGAUCACAUAUACUCACAUUCAGAUUACAGGCUUGCAAUGAUUAGAGUUAUUCUUAGAGUAAUUUUACAGAAUAUUUUCAGGGUAGCUAUCUGGGUCAGGUGCUUGGCAUUAGCAGAAAAUAUGAGAAUAAUGAAUUUCCAUAGUGAUUUUCCAAUAACUUAAAAAAUAGAUUUCAAAAAUAAAAAUGAAAUGUCUCACUUGCAUUUUCUCUGUAUCAGCUAUGUUUUUAACAUCUGUAGUUUAAUAUAAAACCUUGUUAUAUUUAGACUUCAUCAAUAAAUAAUAUCUAAUUCAGCAGACUAUGAAAAACGUAACAUUUUGAGGCUGCGAGUCCCUGCACUCAAUAUACACUAUCAUUAAUCUACAAUAAUGUGUGUGUGCAUGCUUUUGUGUAUUUGGUGUGUGGAAGUUACUCAUCUCUCGCUCCUCUUAAAGGUUGUUUCUUACUUUUAGACCAUUCACUAGGAGUCUCAAGACAAAGAGUCAUUUUUGAUUCUCUCCCCUUAAUUCUGAAGUAAAUAUAACCAGGAAGAUUCUUUAGGCAUAGGAAACAAAUCCUCAAUUUGAGAAACACUGAUUUUUUUUAACUAUCCUUUUUUUUUUCCUUUUUAUUGAGACAGAGUCUCGCUCUAUCACCCAGCUGGAGUGCAGUGGCAUGGUCUUGCCUCACUGCAACCUCUGCCACCCGGGUUCAAGUGAUUCUUGUGCCUCAGCCCCCCGAAGAGCUGGGACUACAGGUACGCGCCACCACACCUGGCUAACUUUUUUGUAUUUUUAGUAGAGACAAGGUUUGGCUAUGUUGGUCAGGCUGGUCUCGAACUCCUGACCUCAGGUGAUCCAUCUGCCUCAGCCUCCCAAAGUGCUGGGAUUACAGUCGUGAGCCACCAUGCCCGGCCUCCAUUUUUAUUUUAUAAUAAAUUGAGGACCUUUCCUGCUUUCAUCUAAAACCUCUUUUGCUCAUUUUCAUCAUAAAAGGAAGUGGAAAAAUGCUUACAAUUUAUAAGAAACAGUGCUGACACUUGAAUAUGUUACUAAUGUAGAAUACAAAGUUUAAUUUAGCAUUCAGAAAUCAAUAUACAUUUUCAGUGAAAAGACAGUUUAUCACUUGAUAUAGUUUGGAUGUUUGCCCCCCACAAAUCUCAUGUUAAAAUGUAGUCCCCAGUGUUGGAGGUGGGGCCUGGUGGGAGGUGAUUUGAUCGUGGGGGCGGAUUUCUCAUGUUUAGAACCAUCCUCUUGGUGCUCUCCUCACAACAGUGAGUUCUGGUGAGAUUUGGUUGUUUAAAAAUGUGUAGCUUACCCUCCACUCUCUCUUGCUCUCAGUCUCACCAUGUGAGACCUGCUCCCCCUUUGCCUUCUGCCAUGAUUGUAAGCUUCCUGAGGCCUCCCCCAAAGCCAGGCAUAUGUCAGUGCCAUGCUUGUACAGCCUGCAGAACCAUGAGCCAAUUAAACCUCUUUUCUUCAUAAAUUACCCGGUCUCUGUUAUUCCUUUACAGCAAUGCAAGAAUGGCCUAAUACGUCACUGUUAAACCCAGUUAUCAGAAUCAAUAGACUGAGGGGAGUGAAUUUUACCCAAGUGUUCAGUUUCUAUGGACACUGGUUGGAAUGACACAAAGUAUGCUCCUUGGGAACACAGUAUGGUAGAUUUUAUUCCAUACAGUGCAUUACACAUAGCAAAAUAAAAAAUCUAAGCUUCGAAAGAAAUUUAUAGAUUAAAAUUCCUCAUUAUCCCUCUCUGGAAAUGCCCCAUUUUGUCAACAUCUUUCCCAAAAAGGACUGCUACAAUAAUUCAGAUGUGGACUGGACAAUAUAUGAGAUCAACGCUACAACUCUUAGUCUGGAUAUAAUUCCUUUAAAAGUAUAAUCUAAAAUUAUAUUGGCACUGUAUUUUUGCAACUAUAUCAUAUUGCUAUCUCACAAUUCCCUAAAAUUUUUCUCCCCAAAUUACUGUUAAGUCCAAUGUUUCCCAUUUUAUAUUUCAGCAGUUGAACUUAGUAUAAAAUACCAUGUUUACAUUUAUUGCAUUUUAUAUUGUUGGUUUAGGUGCAUGUUCCAGCAGGUUCUGCCCUCUUUGGUUUUUGUCAUUUGUUGUGUAUAACCAUCCCUCCCAGUUUUCUAUGUUGAAAAUUGGACUAAUAUGAUUCCACUUUAUCUACUGUUUAUAUGGAGGAAUAUGAGGUCAAAUACUGUUUUAAAGCUAUGUGUUUUCCCUGAGAGGUUGAUAUCACUCCAUUUAUCAAUUUCACCUAAUUGCACUAUCAUUCAAACUAUAUUUAUUUCUCUUCUCCACGGGGAUCUGAACACUUUACUCAAAUAUCUUGCUAACUCACACUGCAGGAGGUAUCUAUCACACAGUCUCCUGGUCUACUAAGGUAAACACAUGUCUUCUUUUAGGUGUAGCUGUGACUUUGGUCUGACUCUUUUUCAUAGCCCCAUGCUGGUACCUAGUGAUGGCUACUUUUUAAAUAUGUUUAAAUGAUCUCCCUUAAAUACUGUGUAUCAGUGACAAGUUUCCAAGAACAAGUUUUCUCUCUCCCCUUUGAAAAAUAUAAGGUAGUAUUUUCCCACCUCCAGUUUCCUAAAAUUUCUCCUCUUCUCUCCAGUACCUGAGGAUUACUGACAGUACUUCCUCUCAAACUCAUCUGGCAAGUUCCUCAAUAGCUGGUGCUGUAAGAGGCUUUAAAGGCUUUAACAAAUCUAGUGCACUCUUAAGAUGUCAGUUAUAAUACUUUCAAUAUGGAAAUCACUCCUGCAGAUAACUAAGAAGGAAACAAAAAAGUAUUGCACAUCUGUCUUUCUUCUCAUACGUUAAAAUCAUAUAAUUUGCCCUAAUAAUCUGCCUACUCUUUGCUUUUUCAUUAUUUUACUCUGAACAGAAUUUAAAGCAAUUUUUUAAUCGUUGCAGACAACACUUGGAAUACAUAUCUAGAAUGUCUCCUGUUUUUCUGAAAGCUGUUCCAUCACUUGGCCCUACUGAGGUCCCCUUCUCUAAGAAUCUCCUUAAACAGCAGUUCCCAAGAAAAAGCAACCAUGUGACGUCAUCCCUAGGCCAUCAAAAUGGACUCAGAGUGCACACCUGUUUGAGAAGUGCCAAUCAGAGUCCUUCUCUGCAAACUCUGAGCUUCUGGAACUCUUGUUGGUUUCUACUAGGCUCUUGCAUUGUCAGGCAAGGACUGGACAGCUAUUUUCAUGCAGAAGCAGAGAGAAAGAAGUAGAGAUGAGAAUUCAUGAACUCUGAGAAAGACAGAGCAUGUGACUUUAGUUCUCAACUUUUCAGUUUGUACUUCCGAGUCUCCCACAGCCACCAUGUGUACUUCCUGACCUUGGGUUCUAUGAGAUACUCAUAUAUCCUUUCAACUAGUAGCUCGCACCACCCCGCUCCACAUUUUUUUGUUUAAGGUUAAACUAGUUAAACAGAUUUGUUUAUGGGCAAAUAAUCCAUGUCUAAACGCUACACUUGAUAUUUUUGUAAAUUUUAGUUUAUUAUAUAUUAAUGAACUAAGAGUUAAACUGAGAGCUUUUCACUAAGUUUUAAUCAAUCAAUCUAUCAAUCAAUCUAUCUAUCGUCUCUUUAAAUUUGAGAUUAUUGGAGAUCUUCCUCUAUGGUCAUUGUUGAAGUUACAGGAAGGUAAGCUAGAGACAGAGAUGGUACUACUUGGAAGGUCCUAAAAAUUGUUAUAAAUAUGCAAAAUUAAUUAAACUUAAGAGAAUUACACAUGCUCACCAAACAAGAAGCUGAUACAUAAAAUACUGUUUGAAAUGAGAAAAAAAAAAUUUUCAUGCAACCUAGUCAUCACUGGAAACUCUGCCUGCAAACUCUGGUCACAAUGAGAAGGUUGCUUGGCAAACACAGAAUCUGUUUUAAUGGCUGAUGCCUUACAGUUUUGAAGCUCCCUGCUUCCUCCUCCACAAUAGGGUGUGCUGAACAGACUAAAUUUAUACUGACUGACUCAAGCUCCCUCUCUGAUGGAUAGCUAGUGGUACAAUAAUCACAUCUUUUCUUAGGUUCCCUUAUUCUAACCCCCAUGUAGACUAUUCUUUUCUUGAUAAUACUAUAUAUUCUUUAUUUUAACUAGACAAAAUAAAACUGUGGUUAUAGUUUUUUAUUUAAUCAUUUUCUCAAACAAUGCCUCAAUUCCUUGAAGACUUUCUCUUCUUUUCCUUGGCUAAUAGAGACUCUAAGAUAACCUAGUUACCUUUUUCCAAUGUUAUUAUCAAUCAAUCCCUGUGAAGGUCAAAAUUAAGCCUAUAAUUCUACCUUAUCAUCUCCAAGAUUAAAAUGUCAGCAAAACUAAUCAUCAGAAGUUCUGCUCUUAGCCAAAACAGCAUUUUCAUGUAUUAUGUCAAAACUCAAUACAUACUUGUUGAUUUGAUUCCAAAAAUUUUCCUGGGACUACUCCUUUGUCACACGAGUACUAUAUCACAGAACAUUACCCACUGUCCUCAUUAAUGAAUUAAAUAUUAAUGAAAAGGGGAAUAAAAAAUGUUUACUUGUUGCUCUAUUUAAGGCUGAAAGUCAAAAUCAAUGCUCAUGGAAUUAAUGGAUGGGUCUGCCUUUCAGGAUGAAACUAGAUAAUUAAGAAAGUAUGGCUGUUAACUACAAUCCUUGCUUUGGAGUGUACUGUAUGGUGCCAUAGUUGGAAGGUAGGACCCAUUUUUGAAGGUAGCGCCAGUUGGUGGCUUUAGCUCAUCAUGCCCAUAUCCCUAUCAGGUCCACCCCUCCCAAUCAGCUCAAUCUAAAUAAAACAGUGUUUGCCAUGUGUGUAGGGUUUUAAGACAAGCAUCCCUAGUUCCUAGCAGGUUACUGCAUCUGAACUUUUCCUGGGACAGAUUUCAUUUUCUGAGGCAGAGAGUUGAGAUGCAUAGAUUUAUUUCAUGUCUAAAUAAUCAAUGGGUUUGGAGGAAAGUGGACCAUUGUUAGCAGAACAGCAGGGCUAGUACCAGAAACUUUCCACCUUACCAUGGCUGAAUCCUAGGGCUGGAAAGCUACAAAAAGAGCUCAUAAAAACUACUGCUGCACGUAGCUCAUGAAACAAAGAGCUGCACCAUGAUCUGCCAGACCACUUGUGGCCUUCUCUGACCCACAGCUCACUGAAAAGCUUAUAUUUGUGUUUAUUUCCAUUUUCUCUACUCUGCUGUGAGGUAGCCAGUUUCCUGGCACUCCCAUAGUCUGUGGGAUGCAGCUGUCCAGGUGUUAUCAUGACAACACCUUUCUUAUCUCAGUUCCCCACUCAGAGCUCGGCUGCCAGUGAUCCUCAAACACAGUAACGGUACGGUUAGAAUUCACGAAGGAAGCCAGAGGCUUCUUAAAGGUCACAUCGUCAUUGGACCAUUCAGCUUGCAGUCUCUACUAUAACCUUAAAUAAUGUGUAUAAACUCUGGGACAGAAACGUUCGAAUACAGUUUUAGAGAACACCUCAGUCUCAGCCAUCCCCUGAUGCUCCUCCUCACUUAGUGUCCUAAUGAGCCCCCAAAAAUGAGAAAGUUAUGCUCCCCAUGUUGAGAUACCAUGAGAGAAGAUGUAGGUGAGAACUUCACAGCUGACAGUUGUUAAGAGUGGCUGCAUGGGGAUGACUGUAUUUCCUUUUGGUGAGGACAUUAGAGGCGUCAGGUCCUAUGACCGUGGAGUCACUAAGCACUGGCUGCAAGAGCAGCAGAGGAGACGACAGCAGUGAGCCACAGAGAAGGCACAUGAGCAUCCAUGAGGAAUCCAACAGGAUCCAUUCCCAAGCAUAUGUUCAACAUCCCCGGCUGACUCCCAGAACUAGUUGUGAAUUUGAGGGAGUUAAAAUUCUAGCAGAGUAGAUAGUAUUUAAGCCAAAUAAAUGGUGAUUUUGCUAUUAGUUAUUGUGAUCUCCUUUUAUCCCAGACUGAGGCAAUGCAGUUCUAAUAGCUCUGCUAUUAGUUUCAAAGCACUUUAAUACAUGUUAUCUCAUGUGAGUUUCACAGUAACCCUGUGAAAUAGAAAGGGCAGGCAUUAUUAUUAUUAUUCAUUUUAUAUAUAAAGAAACUGAGGCUCUGUUAGGUUAUAUGAUUUGCUUAAAGUCACACAGUUAGUGACAGCAGCAAGAUUUAAAAAUGAAUCCUUUGACUCUAAUUUGAAGGCUCUUUCCUUAAACCUACAAGUUUACUAAGAAUUACACACAAAUAUAUGCUUAAACAACAUACAGGAAAAUAAAUUCCUUAUUUUCACCCAAUACCCAGGAAAUACAUGGCCACCAACAAAAUGACUGCACACAGCUCAGAGAAUGUCAGUUUAAUUUUAAAGGUUGAGGAUACUAACUAUGUUAUGGAAAAUUAAGAAUACUGAACUAUGUCUUUUGGGUAGCUAUUUUCAAAUUUUCUUUUUUUGAAAAGGAAAACAUACUCAGACAGAUGUAUCCAGUUAAUGAUUUGAAAUCUCAAACCACAAUUUAGAGAAAAAAAAUCUGGCAGGGAUUCCUAGGACUGGACAUAUGUUCUUGUAUAUUUCUUCAAAACUCCCUGGGAAAGGAAAAAAAGAACAUUUCACAGUGUAAGCCAUAUGUUUAUAGCUAUAUUGGACUCUCAUUUCAAAUAUGAGCUUACAUGCCAUAUUCUGUGUUACAGAAGUACCAGCUUAUCAAACACCAAUAUAUUUGAGCUGAAACAACAGGAGUAAGGAUCAACAUUGGGCACCAUGCAUGGAUGUAUAGAUAACUUAACAGUCUGAGCAAAUAAAGGUCUGCAUUUUUGACUUAGUUAUUAACUUAUGCUACACCUUAUUCCACAAGGACUUUGAGCAGCUUACAAAGACACACAGAAUAAAACAGUAUUACAAAAGUUAAAAAUAGAAGGAGGGAAAAAGAUGGAUAAAGAAAGAAUGAGAGGAAAAAGAAGGAGGAAUCAAGAAUGAGGUUUUAGAAGUAUAUACCAGAGGGUCAAGGGCUCCUGUGUGCACAGUUCUGGGGUACGACUGACAAUGAGCACACUAUGAACGCACCACCCCAAGUGAGUAGCAUGGUGGGUUGGGUAUACCAAAUACUUCUUAUGGGUAAAUCACAAUAUUGGCUUGAAUUUUCUAGCAAGAAAACCUGGUGAGGUCUGUGUUUAACAAACCAGUUGUUCAGAAGAAGUACAAUAUUCAUGGCGUGAAGAUCGGAUGGGAUUUUUUGUUGUUGUUUUUAAACAACAACAACAGGGGCCUCCUUAUGGUAAACACAGUAAAGAGUUUCACUGUGCUGUUUUCCAUAAAGACUUCAAUGGAGACCAAUGGCAUUGUACCAAGGUGCAAGUCAGUAAAAAACAGUUGUGCAGAGAACAAGUUGGGAAUUUAAGUUCAACACAGAUUUGAAAAUCACACUUUACAAACAUUCCUUAAAAUGUUUAUUGAGUCAUCUCUCCCAAUCCAUGUUUCAUCACUCAGUGAGUGAUUAUAUGCCUUCUCGAUGUACUCUAAUUACAAUGAGGAAAUGACAUCAACCAUAUGGAGGACUUACAUUUCCAAAAGCAAAUUUCAACACUGUUAAUGACUGAAGAGGUACAGUCUUACAGUAGCAGCAUGAUAACUUUAGGCUGGAGUUAGUAAAUAAUUUCUCAAAAGAGAAUUGUUAGAUAUUACAGGAUUGGUUGCAAGACAGGUUGUAAUAUUUACUUACAGAAGUCUUAAACAUUGAUAGUAAUGGCCCUAUAGCAAAAUGAAGAGAUGUACUAGAUCGUUUUUUGAAGACCCUCUCCACUGUAAAACAAAUAUGGAAAAGAGUAUGUAAUAUACAACAGUUAACAUUUAUUAACUCACAGAACAGACAUUUUCUGGGGUUAGUAAGAAUAUAUGUUGGCUACACUUAGUAAUUUAUCUUGUUAAAGAUAUUAGGAAACAAGUAGUUCAUUAGCAUAUAAUUGAUACAUAUGAGAUGUUUAAAAACGUUGUAAAGGAGAAAAUUUGGUAAUACUAUUUCAAAAAAUUAUUGCGGUAGUCUACCUCAUUUCCGGAAUCAAUUGAGUUAUCUUUACUUAUCUUUUUACAUCUCUGCUUCAUUGUAAUUUUCCAGAAAAUCAAAUCUUUCUGAGGCGAGUGAGUCACGAAGAGUGAGUUGAAGUUAGUUAUCAAAUAGUUUAUGGCUCAAAGAUGGGAUGGAAUUAUAACAACUGAGAUGGUAUGUUAAUUCUCACUCUGAAAGAGGCAGAUGCCAGAAAAUCUCAAACCAAAAUUUUAGAAAACAUUUUAGUUCACUUAAAAUCUGGCAGGGAACCCAAUGACUUAACUCAUGUGAACACUGCAUGUAAGCUAUGGUCAACUGUCAUCUUGAAAUAGUAUCAGUUUGUUGCAUUCUCUCUUGAGAGUCCCUCAAUUUCUAAUGGUCUACAGAUAGUCCAUAUACAGGGGGAGACCAUUACCAAAGGAGACAAAAAAAGAGAAAAAUGGAAAAGGGCAAAACAAAUAUAUUCUGUAUGAAGUGGAAGCAGUGAGGGACAGGGAUGGAGAGCAGAGGAGAGACUCCAGAGUUGACAAAACACUACCAAGUAAAAGGAACCAGUUAUUAAUCCUUUGAUUUAGUGAUUCCACUAGGAAUUUGUCCUCUUGAAAUAAUCAAUGAUGGGCACAAAGACUGAGCCAUAAGCGGGUUCCUCACAGCAUUGUUUACAAUAGUGAAAACCUGAAAAUAAUCCAAAUGUCCCAAAAUAAAGGAUGGAUGAAAUAAAUUGUGGUCAUCCAUGCAGCAGAUCAUAUAGCUAGCAAAAUGGUGUUGCACAAAAAAUAUUUAAAGAUACAUAAAAAUGUGUAAAAACAAUUUUAAUAAAAUUUUAGAAAUAAUAUAUAACAUCUAACCUCAUCUUUUAAAAUGACCUCAUAUUUUUAAAAUAUACUACUUGGGGCCAGGCACAGUGGCUCACAUCUAUAAUCCUAGCAUUUUGGGAGGUUGAGGUGGGUGGAUCACCUGAGGUUAGGAGUUCGAGACUAGCCUGGCCAAUGUGGUGAAACCCCAUCUAUACGAAAAAUACAAAAAUUAGCCACGCCUGAUGGUGCACACCUGAAAUCCCACCUACUCGGGAGUCUGAGGCAGGAGAAUCACUUGAACCCAGGAGGCAGAGGAAGUUUCAGUGAGCUGAGAUCCCACCACUGCACUCCAGCCUGGGCAACAGAGCAAGACUCUGUCUCAAUAAAUAAAUAAAUAAAUAAACAAACAAACAAACAGUUUAACAUAAAUAUAUGUAUUACUUGGCUGGUAGGAUUACAGGUGAUUGUUUUUACUUUCUUCCUUUAAAUAUUCUACUAAACAUAAAUACUUCUUUCCUUUUUUCAAAAUAUUUAAAGUUGCUACUUAAGACAACUACAAGUGAAUGGAACAUUACUCUGGCAGCUUCAUAAUCAGCAAACCCCUGGGCAAAAAAUCUAGCCUGAUACCUUUAUUCUCAUAAAAAAUAAUACAUUAAAGCUUUCCCCAGAACAACAAUGUCAACUUACUAACAGAAUUAGACCAAAUUUUCGUAUUCACUUUGCAGAUGGCUUUGCUGAAAAUGCAUCUAUUCUAAAAAGCAAGGGCAUAUUUUAAAAAUCAUUACUAUUUAUACCCAUUCUCAUUUUGAUUCAAUAGGUUAAUUGAAAGAUUUGCAAAUUAUACUGAGGGGAACUUUGUGCUUCGUUGCUGCCAGUUUUUUCCCUUCUGAUAUCAGCUGGUUAUUCCAUCUAAUAUAUAGUCCUUCUAGAUAGCUGUCAUACUGAUAGAGCAGGAGCCUGCACAGAAUGCAGCUGCCAAGAAGACUGCUGUUUCUCAGAGGGCUGCAGCAGCUAAAAGCAAAGAUAAAUGUGCUUAAGCGGGAAAGGAAAACACAAACAAAGAUACAAGAGCUCUGCUGGAAGAAAUCUUUUACAAGGGCCAGUUGCCAACUUUUGGUGGUUUAUAAAUCCAAAGAGGAAAGCCAGAGCUUCUGAAUUCCAGUAUAAUGUUCCAAAUAUUACUGAGUAAAUAUGUUUAAUUAUCACCACUUUAAAGCAUUUCAUGUGGAGGAAAAAUUAUAUCUUUUGAUGAAAAAAAUCCAUCAAAAACCUUAGAAAUCCUAAAUACUCUGAAGCAAUUGAGAUAGGCGUCCAAGAUUAGCUUCACAGCACUGACCUCUAUGGUGAUCUUGAAUACGAAAGCCUUCAUAAAAGAAAGGAGGCUGUUUCCACAGCUUCCUCAUUACCUAAGGUAUUGGAAUGCAGAACAUCAAUUAUCCCCUAAAAUAUUCCCCAAAACACUUGUCACAAAAACAAGCAUUUUUUUUUCAAUCUUCAAAACUCAAGAUUUCAUAGGAGCAAUUUGACUGAAUCCCUCAGGUACCUAAUGUCUCAUUUUCUGAAGCUGAUGUCAAUCUGCUAUAUCUUUAUUCUGGAGAGCACAUGCAAUUACAAGGGUUAUUGCCACAGUUUAAAGGGAAAAACAUUUCCCCUGUACCUCCAAAUUAUCCCACUUUAAUUUCAAAGAUUUCCCCAUGAAAUCAUCCAUAUCUUCACAUAUUGCCAAUAAUAAUUGCGCUAUACUUCUGCAGAAUGGUUAAAACCAGUGGCUAUGGGUCCAAGUACACUUGAUUAUCUUUUUAUAUUUUUCAGGUUCUAGAAAUAUGCAUACAUUUAUAUCAUCUAGUUCUUUCUUCACAGGACUUUUGUAAACGACUUCUCCCACAAUCAGCUGAUGAGGUGGGGUGUCUCUAGUUUUACUGGAUAUGAAACAUCCUAGCAUCAUGACUGCAACUUUUGAUCCUCAAGAAGCAUUCCUUUUCCUGCAUGAUUAUAAAAUUGGACUUUAUGGCCGUGGUCUAUCGGAGUUUGUUGUAUAUUUCUUUGAGACCAAGAUUGAAGUAAGAAACAGGUGCAAUGACUACUUGGAAAGAAUUUAAAUUACUUCUGUUGAGGAGGAGGAGGAGGAGGGAAGAUUAAAUCUAAAAUUAUUAAGUAUUCCUGAAAAAAGUCAAAGCUAGUUACCAGGAUAUUAAAUAGAUUCAAUACAGCAUCCAACCAUUUAGGAAAGGUGAUGCACUUGGGGCCUGAGGAUAUGAUACUAUCACAUUUACGUGGUCAUAAGGACCUUUGAAAUUCAGAUUAGGUCUGCUUAUCAGCAGAGACUAUUUCAGCACUAAAUCUAAUAAAUAUUCCAAUCAGUGCAAAAGACCUCCUGUGUUCCAUAGCUCAUGUCACUAACUGCAGCAGCUUCUGUUGGGUACACCUUGGCAUGAUUCCAGCUGCCUUCCCAAGCCCAUUUUAGCAGUUAGGUAUCUAUAAAAGGAGGUGGAAGAUAAAGUGGGGAGGGGUGGGAAGGAGCAAGGAAAGAUGAAUUAUGGGCGGAACAUAUAAUAAUAACUCGGCCACUUUAUUUCUAUUCCUUAAAUGGAAAAACAAAAUUUGAUGCUUUUUGGUCUUCACAUUUCUAAAAGCCAUUAUCAGAUUUCAUUUUUGAAAUAAAUUAACAGACAAAAAAUAUUUUGUUUUGUUCUGUGCCUCUGUUGUCUGAGUGCCCCUAUAAUAAGACAUGCUUAUCUGACAAACAUCAGAGGAGCCAUGCCCCUCUGAGAAACAUCUUCACUGUUACUGAGAUUUGGGUUUAUUAUAAUGGGGUACUGGGCAUUUUGCCCACUAACUAUAUAGUAAAUAUUUCUGUGAUUAACCUGAGCCCCAUACUAAAUAUACAAAAAUUCAGUGGCUCCUUAUUAUUUGUGGAUUCUACGUCCACAAAUGUGGAUUGCAAUUGGAGAUGCCUGAUGGGCAUGCACACGAGGAUGUUCUGUUUCUUGUUUCUGCUCAUAGAGUAAACAAGUGUCCGGGUGCGGUGGCUCACGCCUGUAAUCCCAGCACUUUGGGAGGCCAAGAAGGGCGGAUCAAGAGGUCAGGAGAUUGAGACCAUCCUGGCUAACACGGUGAAACCCCAUCUCUACUAAAAAUACAAAAAAAAAAAAAAAUUAGCUGGGCGUGGUGGUGGACGCCUGUAGUCCCAGCUACUCGGGAGGCUGAGGCAGGAGAAUGGCGUGAACCUGGGAGGCAGAGCUUGCUGUGAGCCAAGAUGGCGCCACGCCUGGGCUACAGAGCGAGACUCCAUCUCAAAAAAAAAAAAAAAAAAAAAAAAAAACGAGAGAGAAAACAAGUGUCCUAUUUGCAGUUUGUUUGGUGCCACAGAUUUUCUCAUUUUUGUGCUUUUAGUUGGUAAUUUUGCUGUUUAAAACAGCCUCCCGAGAAUAAUGUCAGUGUGCUACCUGGUAUCCUAAGCACAAAGAUGCUGUGCUGUGUCCUGUGCAGAAAAUCCACGUGAGACAAGCUUUGUUUGGGUGCGAGUUACAGUGCUAUUGGCCCUGAGUUCAAUGUAAACCCAUCAACGUUAUAGGUAAAAUAAAGUGUCUUUAAAUAGAUACAUGCCUAAAACAAGGUUAGGUUGGUGCAAAAGUAAUUGUGGUUUUUGUCAUUAAAAAAUUGCAAAAACCACGAUCACUUUUGCACCACCCUAACAUUUUUCUUCACUUCUCUUGACGCAAAUUAUAGAUUCAAUCACCCAGCACUUACAAGCAAGCAUUUCUUUAUCUUAGGUUGACCUUAAGAACUUCUUUGUAUUUACUAACUUCCUUUAGGACUCCUCCUCUUUUGUAGUAAGACGGCAGGAUGAAAUACAAUGAAGAGGGUACCAUAUUUUAAAGAUAAGGCUGAAUACCACACACCUGGCAUGAUGAGAGGCCUAUACAGAAAAAAGAGCUUCUGAAGCUUCUCUAUGCCACACAAGGGAUGAAGGUGGCCUCCAACAACUGUGACCUCCAACCGGUGGAGCUCAUGUGUGAUAUGCCUUUUAUGUCCUUUAGCACAUUUGUUACCCACAAUAACUUUACAAGCCAAGUAUUAUUAUCCACAAUUGCUAGAAGAGGAAACCAAAGCUCCCUAAAUGCUCAAUAUCAUGCUCAUCACUCUUUCAGCUCUGUAUGGGAUUCCCAAAGUGAACCUCAUGUGUAUUUAUGAACUUGGCACUCUCGGAUACCAUGCAGCACCCCUCAUUUUCUGUGAGCUCUGCUUGCUGAGGUGAAGACUCUGCUGCAAAGGGGCCCCUGGUCCUGUGAAGCUGGUCCCCCUGCUGUGCCUAUUCUAAGGAAUGGCCAUUGCUGAUGACAUUUGCUGGUCUGUGCCCAGGCAUGGUUUCCUGGCGCUGCAGAAGCCACUGGCUGGUAAUCUGCCUAUGGGUGUCCACAAACCCUCAAGUACAGAAAUUUGCCAUCCUUCAGUUUGACAGGCAUUUUAAUGGAAUGCUCUUUCAGUGUAUCUCCCUAGCAUUCAGGUACGCGUUUCAGGGGCCAGGCUGGAGGGUGAUCUAAGUGACAGGCAUGGUACAAUGGUAAAUUUUGCCCAUACCCUCAACACUGAUCCUCUACUUCUAGGCCAUACUAAGGUGGCUUUUAAAAAUUAAUAUAUGAUAAUAGUACCUAUUUAUGGGAUACAUGUGAUAUAUGGAUACAUGCAUAUAAUGGGUAAUGAUCAAAGCAGGGUAUUUAGGAUAUGCACCACCUCAAACAUUUAUCAUUUCUUUGUGUUGGGAACAUCCCAAAUAUUCUUUUCUAGCCCUUUUGAAAUACACAAUACAUUGUUGUUAACUAUGGUCACCUGCUGUCCUAUUGACCAUUAGAACUUAUUCCUUCCAGCUAACUGUAUGUUUAUAGCCAUUAGCCAACCCCUCUUUAUCCCACAUCCCAGCCCUCCACACACACACACACACACACACACACACACACACACACACACACACACACACACACACCCUUCCCAGCCUCAGGUAGCCGUCAUUAUACUCUCUACCUCCAUGAGAUCAAAUUUUUUAGCUUCCACGUGAGUGAGAACAUGCAAUACUUGUCUUUCGGUGCCUGGCUUAUUUUUAACAUAAUGUCCCCCAUGCUCAUCCAUGUUGCCGAAAAUGGCAGGAUUUUAUUAUUUUUAUAUCUGUUCUCUUAUUAAUAGUAUAACUUCUUACAACUUAGAUUUAAGCAGAGGCCCUUCUACAUAUAAUUGGAAUUUUAUAUGUCCACAUUUAAAAAGAGUUACCUUGGGAUUGAUAACAUACUUCUUUUGCUCCUAAGUAAAAAUUUUUAUUACUAUAAAAUGUUUCACAAAUGUAUCAAAAAUACUACAAUUAAAACUACUGCUCUGAUCAACACACUUUCGUGCUCUUUUGUCUGGUAUAGUGAAAGGUCGGUCCUAGAAGACCUGGAUUCAUUCUUCUCAGCCACUUAAUUUAAUCCUGGAUGAUCACAUACUGUUUAUACUUGGGAUUCCUUAUCCACAAAGUGAGGGAUCUCUCACAGUACCAAGGAACCCCUCUGGCCCCCUUCAGUUCUAAAAUUCUUUUCUUUUCUUUUUCUUUUUCCUUUUUGAGACAGAGUCUUGCUUUGUUGCCCAGGCUGGAGUACAGUGGUGCUAUCUCAGCUCACUGCAACGUCCGCCUCUCGGGUUCAAACAAUUCUUGUGCCUCAGCCUCCUAAGUAGCUGGGAUCAUGGCCGCACGCCACUAGGCCCAGCUAAUUUUUUUGUAUUUGUAGUAGAGACAGGGUUUCGCCAUGUUGGCCAGGCUGGUCUCGAAAUCCUGGCCUCAAGUGAUCCAUUUGCUUCAUCCUUCCAAGGUGCUGGGAUUACAGGCAUGAGCCAUUGAGCCUGGCCAGUUCUAAAAUUCUAUGACACAUUUAAUAUAUUAUGAGCAAGGUUCUUGAAGCGUCCAAGCCAUUCCCUUUAAAAGCUACCAUGUGACUCCCAAAGUGCAAUCUUAUGCACUGGGCUCCCAUCCAUUCUGAUAAGCAGUUUAUCUGGGCCAUUUGAAGACUGAGAUGAAAGCAAAGCGCUAGACUCAGAAAAAAGAAAUGAAAAAGGUAAAAACUCUGAAAAGACAUGUGGAAGAAAUUCAAGACAAUCCCAUAUUGCUUCAGAGAAGGAAGAAGGGAGAGAGACAGGGUGGGGGGUGGGGGAGGGAGGGAGAUUGGGGGGAAUGAGGGGGUCUUGGGGGUGGAGAGACAGAGACAGAGAGAGAGAGAGAGAGAGAGAGAGAGAGAGAUGCUUACGCCACCAUCACUGCUAGUAAAACAGCUAGCAUGUACUUGCUGCUUACCAUGUGCUAGGUGGUGAGCUAAACAUGUCACAAACCUGAGGUCAUGUAGAGAAGGCUGGUAAGGGUAAAGGAUAAGGAAAUAUACGGGAUGAUAAGCUUUUAGAACAAAAAAUAAGUUUUCUAUGUUCUAAAAGUCAUGAAUGUAUAUACAGAGAUAUGGGGAAAGACCAUGACAACUAUUCACCAAACAGUAGCUGGCUCUGGAAAGGUCACUUCUUAGUAUGUCAGGCAAAAUGGGUUUCCUCCACCCCUGGAGCUGGCACAAACAAAGGCUAAUAGAGGAAGACAUUCUCAUAACAGGAUUAUAUCCUGGAAAUGCUAGCAUGGUUGAGCUUGGCAAUAUAAAAUGGCUGACUGUCCUCCAGCUAAUCCAUCUGGUCCCCUGCCUGCUCCUGGGGAAACCGAAGAAGGGCAAGCCUGGUAUCCUGGCUGCGUCUGAUGCUCUCCUUGCCAGGAUGGGCACAGUGUUGAGUGGCUUGUACAUGAAGCGCAAGUUUUGCCAAACAGUGCAAGUUGCUAAAGUGCUGGGAUCAAAGCAGCAUUUGCUUCUGCACCAAUACUAGGUAGCCAAGUAAAUAGAUGCCACAUCUAUCAUUAUUUUCCAAAAAGAGCUGUCGCACCUGGCAGUGGCCCAAGGGCUGUGAAGCCACUCCCCCCUCCAGGAUGCAGGAAGAGGCAAUACCACAAAAGAAAGCAUGCCACAAAGUUCAGGCUCGAGUGAUAACAGCUGCACACCAGCUGCUUGCUGGCUGGUUCUAUUCAGCUUUUUUAUCUAGAGAAACAAUUGUGGAACACCCAGGGGAGAAUGUAGAAACACAGAAAAACUUAAUUUUAAAAUGAGAGAGACCUGGGAAAACAUCUAGGUCUCAGGUUUCCAAACUUGUUGGAGGAGCCCACGGAUUUAAAGAAGGUGCCAAGAACAAAAGCAUAGAGUUGCCUAGGAAGUCACUUGAAAAAGGAUUCUGGGGCUUCUUGUGGUUAAAACAAGUUAGAAAAAUUGACGACUCCCUCUUUUUCAGAUAAGAAAAUUGAGACUCAGAGGAUAAUACGGAAGAGCAAUACCCAUCUAACCCUACUGUGUGCUCAGAGAACUCACACCGUAUUGGGACAGAGAUACAAGAAUCAACACCACAGUGUGUAGACUCACACAUUAUACCUUAUAAUGGACACUGAUGGGAAAAAUAAGACAAUUUAUCAUCUUGCAAGAAUGCCAUUUUCACUUGAAAGAAACAAAGGACAAACUAUGGUCACUGAGAUUGGUUAUCUGGAAGUUUUUUGAACAUGAAUGAAGGGAGCCUGUCACUUCAACAAAAACAACUGACAUCACUUGUUGCCAAUGACAAAACUUGAGCUCUCAGGCGAAACUAAGAAAUUUGGAAAUAUGACAGUUUCUCAGGAGUUAAGGCCUUUCCAAUGAGACUGAUGAUGAUGUUAACAAAUGUAUUGUUCUUAUCAUUAUAUAAUGAAAUUGUCAAUAUUUAAAAGAUCUGCAUUACUUGGGAAACCAAUAUUUUCCAAAUGACCAACUCCUGAUAUUACAGCAUCAUACAAUGGUAAAAUGUCCUGUUAAAGUGCAAGACAGACUAGAAACAGUACUAAAGGUUCUUUUUUAUGCUUUCAGAUUCUAUAUUGCAGCUACUUUUUUAAAAAACUACCACUAGUUUUUAGUACAGUAUCAAAAAGGAGUAUCCACAAUUACUUGAAAAAAGCUAUUAAAAUGCUCCCCCCUUUUGCAAUUACAUAUCUGAGUGAGGCCAGAUUUUCUUCAUAUAUUUCAACUAAAACAACCCAGGGGCAUAGACUGAAUGCAGAGGUAGGUGUUGGAAUUCAGUUAUCUUCUAUAAGCCAGACAUUACAGAAGUUGGUAAAAAUCUAAGACAAUGAUACUCGUUUCUUUUAAUUUUAAAAAAAUUAUUUUCAUAAAAUAUGUAAUAUGUAAUGAAAUUAUUAUUCUUAAAUGAAUUAACGAUUAAAAUUUUAUUUUAAUUUCAAUGUUGUAUAUUUUGAUAGUUAACUGACAUAAAUAAAAGCCUAAUUAUUUGCAGCUAUCUAUUAUUUUUUAUUUUUUAAAUUUUUUUUGAGACUGAGUCUGGCUCUGUCCCCCAGGCUGAAGUACAGUGGCACAGUCUCAGUUCACUGCAGCCUCCACCUUCCGGGUUCAAGCAAUUCUGCUGCCUCAGCCUCCUGAGAAGCUGGGAUUACAGGUGCGUGCCACCACACCUGGCUAAUUUUUUUUUAUUUUUAGUAGAGAUGAGGUUUCACCAUGUUGGCCAGGCUGGUCUCGAACUCCUGGCCUCAGGUGAUCCACCCGCCUUGGCCUCCCAAAGUGCUGGGAUUACAGGCGUGAGCUGCCAUGCCCAGCUGUAGCUAUCUAUUUUUUAAGCACGUUAAAGGGUGCUCUGUAAGCUCUGACAAGCCAAGUUAUUAAAUAAGUGUAGUGCAGGUCCUUGAAUAACAUUGCCUCAUUCAACCUUGUUUUGUUUUAAUGCUGAUGAGAAAAAAAAAAACAAAAAAAAACUGAUGCCACUGUCUGGGUAGAGUUUGCACACCCUUCCCUUGUCUGCAUGGGUUUUCUCUGGAUAUACAUCCCCAAGCUGUGCCCAUUAGGUGAAAUGCUGUGUCUACAUAGCCUAGGGUGAAUGAGUAUGGGUGUGUCUGAGUACACCUGUGAUAGGAUGGCGUCCUGGCCAGGGAGGGUGCCCAUCUUGUGUUUUCAGCAGCCAGAAUUUGUUCUGGCUGCACACCACCCUAAACUGGAAUGAGUGGAUUGCAAAUUAUAUGAAUAAAUACAAAUUACUGUGAAAUAAAAAUGUGUAAUGUAGACGACAAUUAUACAGAUGCAGGACAAUAAAUGAUGUGGGACAGAAGCGCUCAGCAAGCUCCCCACAUUUGUUAUUGCUUGUUUUUGAACUGCAUGGUGGUGGAAGGUACUCCUGACAAUUUUCGCUUCGUAAACGUUUACUCGUUGAUUAAAUUCACCACCACUAUGAGUACCAUCACUCAUGGGUUCACCAAAAAUUGAGUAAAUCAUCAUCUUACUUGUUUUUAUUAAUAUUUAUUAAAUGUAUGCAUACUUCACAUUUAUUUCAAUAUUUAAUAUUAGAAGUAUUUUGGUCCUUACUUAGAAGUUUGGUGAUAUUUUUGUGACCAGAAACAUGCCAUAGGAACUUGACUCUUGUUUAUGUUGUAAGGCACAAUAACAAACAUAAAAAGGCAUGCUCAUUUCUACUUGCCAACAUAAUUUCACAAAGCUCUUGAUUCAGUGAUGACAUACAGCUCUGUAAAAAAUACUUUAAAGACAAAACAAAAUAAAACACAUGGCCCCACCACAACUCUUGCCUCAGUCACUACAUUUCUUAAAAGAUCAAUGAUCCUAGUCCUUGUCUUUUCCUAUACAUAAAAUAACAUUUGACAAAAUUAAUGAUUAUACUUCUAUAACCUAUCACCAAAUAUACUCUUACACUGAAACUUAGAUAUAAUUUUACACAUAUUAAAUCUUCACCACCUACAUGUAAACCAUAAACUAAAAUACUGCCUUAAAACAGCCUGACAGAAUUGCUUCUGGGUUAUAAGCCUCAGUCUAUAGUCCUCAGUAAGACUUCCAAAUAGAACUAACUUUAAUUAUUUAAAAGCUUAAAUUUUUUUCCUUCAGUCAACAAUAUCAAUUUGCCUAUGGUAAAAUUAGCUUCAUUGUACAUCUUCUUCCUGAACCUAUUGAAGACACUGAGCAAGGACUCAUAGUAUUGUUACGUACUUUACCUUUGUAUAAUUCAUUCUGGCAUUCGAUGGUAUGUAACUACAAUAUUUAUAAGUGAAUUUCUUAUAAUAGUCCUGAUAAGUAUACUGUAAAAUUGUCUUUGAAGGUUAAUAAAAUAAGCAUGAUUGAUAUUUUUCUUGUUACUUCAAAUAAUUUCCCCCCACAGGUAUUAGCAAUUCUUCUAAUUAAAAAUACAAGAAAUGGGCCGGGCAUGGUGGCUCACGCCUGUAAUCCCAGUACUUUGGGAGGCUGAGGUGGGUGGAUCACCUGAGGUCAAGAGUUCGAGACCAGCCUGGCCAACAAGGCAAAACCCCGUCUCUGCUAAAAAUACAAAAACUAGCUGGGCGUGGUGGCGGGCACCUGGGAUCCCAGCUACUGGAGAGGAUGAGGUGGUAAAAUCACUUGAACCCAGGAGGCAGAGGUUGCAGUGAGCUGAGAUCGUGCCACUGCAUUCCAGCCUGGGCGACAGAGGGAGACGCUCUCUCUCAAAAACAAAACAAAAAACAAAACCAAGUAAUGGAAAUAAGAAAUAAGGAGGAUAAUUCAAGAGGAGAAUGAGUUUAAUAUAACUCAGAAUAAAGUUUGGACAAAUAUACACCAAAUUCUGAAACGCCCUCAGUGGCCACCAACUGGCCAAAAGGUAGAACUAGAGAAAUAGCAGGAUUGGAUCUUUUUUCUCCACUCCCGGUAUUUGUUAUUAAAAAAAAAAAAAGCGGGAGGAGGGAGAAGAGAGAAAGAGUUAUAAAUGCAUCCAUGAAUGAUUACUGUACUACCACCAACAAUAUUCAGAUCUGCCAUGAUGGAGCCUGUGAACCUGCAUGUAACCCCCUCCACUAAUCUAACAACUAUCUUCAUCUUAGGACAAAGUCUUCCUAUCUAUUUGUCCCAUUUCAUCAAUCUGUUCCAAUUCUUCCCCUUAAUCCUAUAAAUCCAUCUCUGUUAUUUUCAUUGUGUCACACCCUCCUCCCAUAACAUUACCUCAAUUAACCCCUUACAGCAGUGAUUUUUAAUCAGGGGUGAUUUUGCCCCCCAGGGGGCAUGUGGCAACAUCUGGAGAACUGGUUGUCACAACUAGGGAGGUGGAAGCGGAUGUGUGUGUUCCUGACAUCUAGUGGGUAGAUGCCACAGAUGCUGCUAAACAUCCUACAAUGUACAGGACAAAGAACUGUCAACAAAGAAUUAUCUGGCCCAAAUGUCAAGUGCCGAGAUUGUGAAACCCUGUCUUAGGAGGCAAGAAAAAAUUCUGCAAUAAUGACACACUAAACCUUUGCCUUUUACCUUUUUCUAACUUUCCCUGUAAAAAGAAGUUAAUGUCCUGUAGCAAACUGGAACACAACCUCUUGGCUGUUAGCAUCCCUAACAAGGCAAUGGGUGUAUAUGCCAGAAUUUGAGUCCCAGGAUCUCCAUCUUCGAGUUACGUGACCUGCAAGUUUUCUAGUUCUCUGAGCCUCACUUUCAUCAUCCAAAAAUAUAGUGAAAUUGAAAAUAUACUAUCUCAGUAUGGUUAUAAGCACAGGAGAUAGUACAUUUAAAAACCCAGCAUACUGCUAGGCAUAUAGGUGUAACACAGGGACAGUGAUGCUGCUGAUCCUUACUGUCACUGACUGAGGCCCCCCCAUCUCCAUCAGCUGCUGCAACAGAGAGAUAAGAAAAGCAGCAGUCACAGCAACAGAGUUAAUUAUGUGGAAGUGGAAGACACAGCUUAGACCUCAUUUGAAGUGAUCGAGAAGUAUUCCUGAAAACCAUAUAAACAAGUGUAAAUAAGUACACUAGGGCUGAACCCUUUCUGGGCCACUCUAUGUCUACUGGUGCACACCCUUAGCACACUGUUAAUUCCAGCCCUUCCACUCAUCAGCCUCAACAUCUGGCAUAUGACCCUGGAGCCAGAGACUAGUACCACAAUGACAGAAGAUAUGAGGUCAAGAACCAACCAAACUCUAGUCUAGGUUACAUUAUUGUCUGCCCAGAAGAUAGAUAGAUUCUUCUUUGUAUUUGAUUUAAAUAAGAAUACCCAAGGCUGCUUUCUUAAGUAGUUGUGUUUACACAGACUUCAAUAGAAGCUUUCAAGAGAGUUUCUCUGUCCUCCUUUAAUACCCCUUCCCCAACUCAAUCUCACUGGGAGAAGAAAUCAGCCUUAAAUAUCUUCCUUGGAUGGGGACCCACUCCAGCAGGCCUGCAGCUUACCACGUGUGGACUCUGGAGGGAGCUCCUGCCUCACAAAAGUUGAAGUACAUCCUUCUACUGAAGACUACAACACUUUCCUUUAAAGUGACACUUGUGAAUCUCCAGGGUCUUAAGAAUGUGGAGUUUAGAUUCUCAAAUCUUUCUCUAGAGCCCUUAUCAUGGUUUUAGUUCGCUCACUGGGCCUUUCUACUCUGGAGAAUGCACGAAUAUUUUCCAUUUGAUUAAAAUGGCAGGGUUCAUUCUAAAAUAAGUCACCAGGCUAUUAAAAAUGUGAUUUACCUCCUAUACAAUAGCUACAUUUUGAAGAGUGGAAUCUCCCCUAGGAUUCAGUGAAGAGGGAAGCAAAGCUACAGGUCAUUUCCCAGGGACAGACUAAAAGUUUACUGAAUGUAAUUAAACUAUAUUAUUUAUAUAAUUUUAACUCAUGUAAUUAGCUUGGCUUUGGUGCUAAGCCCUUUUUCCUUCUUAGCACUUUCAACUUGUAUCUUGCAAAAAUGAUGAAAGACUAAAUCUAUUUAUGAUAUACCAAGUGUACCUUUUACAUAUUCAGCUUAAAAUGAGCAAAGAUAAUUAACUUAUUUAUAAGUGCAUUCAAGAAGUUAUAUAACAAUUAUUCAACCAUUAUUCAUAUUACUACUUCUACAAUCCUUUCUGAAGAAAAAAAAAUUGGUGCUUAUGAUCUUGCUUUACAGCUCUCUCCAAUGACUUGCCUUAACCAUGGGGAAACUGUCACAAAUGAUUCCUAUAGAUCAAGGAGUUGAAGUCAAUUUUAAACUCAGAAUGAGAGGAAGGAAGCCUCCCCUAACUGCCUCUAGCCUGGUUCAACUACUUUUAAAGAUUGCCUUCUCUCCAACGCAGGUCCUUUUACCAGAUAUUCCAGAGGUAAAGAUCUACAUGUGUAAAUGUAAAGAGUGAAGUCAUCUGGAGUUUUAUAGCCGACUAUGGCAAAAUUGAGUCCUGGCUCUAAACUGGGCCAAGUUUCUCCCCAUUGUGGCCAUAUGUAAUCCUUGCUGUCUAUUGAGAGUCGUCUAUUUUUCAGAAUAGAUGCUCUGCUUCUACAAUAAAUGGAGAGGUAGGGGAUAUUCCUUCUAUAUAAGUGUUGGUUUAUGCUUGGUUUACCAGCUAGACAGUGUCAUGUAAAUUAUUAAUCUAAAAUAUAGAAAAUAUCUCCCAUUCUUCCUUUUAUAUUAUGGCUAUAUUAUGCAAAGCAGUCAUAGCAUAGCCCUAAGCCCAGCAGUCUGGCUAUGCCUACCUUUUAGGUGCAAUUAUAGGCAUUUCUGCCUCGUAUAUGUAGUCCUAGCAAUCUCUGUUUUGCAAGGGUAUGCGAAAGAAAGAAACAAAGAAAGUAACAAAGAAAGAAAGAAAGACUUCAGAAAAAAAAUACGGGAAGGAAGGAAGGGAGGGAGGGAGGGAGAGAGGGAGGGCAAUAGGACUUAAAA